UACGGGGGGGGCAAGCGUUGUUCGGAAUUACUGGGCGUAAAGGGCUCGUAGGUGGUCAACUAAGUCGGACGUGAAAUCCCUCGGCUUAACCGGGGAACUGCGUCCGAUACUGGAUGACUUGAGUUCGGGAGAGGGAUGCGGAAUUCCAGGUGUAGCGGUGAAAUGCGUAGAUAUCUGGAGGAACACCGGUGGCGAAGGCGGCAUCCUGGACCGGCAUUGACGCUGAGGCGCGAAAGCCAGGGGAGCAAACGGG
Molecule: ribosomal RNA, 253 nt
Filed under: uncultured bacterium
Lineage: Bacteria
Description: partial 16S ribosomal RNA
Rfam family: Bacterial small subunit ribosomal RNA
Source: RNAcentral